Molecule: ribosomal RNA, 253 nt
Filed under: uncultured bacterium
Lineage: Bacteria
Description: partial 16S ribosomal RNA
Rfam family: Bacterial small subunit ribosomal RNA
Source: RNAcentral
UACGUAGGGGGCUAGCGUUGUCCGGAAUCAUUGGGCGUAAAGAGCGCGUAGGCGGCCAGAUAAGUCCGGUGUGAAAGUCAAAGGCUCAACCUUUGAAUGCCGCUGGAAACUGUCUGGCUAGAGUCCGGGAGGGGCGAGUGGAAUUCCUGGUGUAGCGGUGAAAUGCGCAGUUAUCAGGAGGAACACCAAUGGCGAAGGCAGCUCGCUGGAACGGUACUGACGCUGAGGCGCGAAAGCGUGGGGAGCGAACAGG